AAAAAAGCAGGGGCCGUUGCCCAUGUGAACAGGCCUCUCGUAAACUUCAGGGAAAUCAUUUACAUUGUUAUUGGGUGAACCUGUGUAUAUACUUCUGGUGACAAAAGGUUCAGUAAAUGAUGUUACAUUG
RNAcentral lists this small nucleolar RNA (130 nucleotides) under Nelumbo nucifera (sacred lotus). RNAcentral's name for it is "Small nucleolar RNA snoR74". It matches the Rfam family "Small nucleolar RNA snoR74". Lineage: Eukaryota; Viridiplantae; Streptophyta; Magnoliopsida; Proteales; Nelumbonaceae. The record is from Rfam by way of RNAcentral.